GAGUUUGAUCCUGGCUCAGGACGAACGCUGGCGGCGCGCCUAACACAUGCAAGUCGAACGAGUGAGAGAGAGCUUGCUUUCUCGAGCGAGUGGCGAACGGGUGAGUAACGCGUGAGGAACCUGCCUCAAAGAGGGGGACAACAGUUGGAAACGACUGCUAAUACCGCAUAAGCCCACGGCUCGGCAUCGAGCAGAGGGAAAAGGAGCAAUCCGCUUUGAGAUGGCCUCGCGUCCGAUUAGCUGGUUGGUGAGGUAACGGCCCACCAAGGCGACGAUCGGUAGCCGGACUGAGAGGUUGAACGGCCACAUUGGGACUGAGACACGGCCCAGACUCCUACGGGAGGCAGCAGUGGGGAAUAUUGCACAAUGGGGGAAACCCUGAUGCAGCGACGCCGCGUGGAGGAAGAAGGUCUUCGGAUUGUAAACUCCUGUUGUUGAGGAAGAUAAUGACGGUACUCAACAAGGAAGUGACGGCUAACUACGUGCCAGCAGCCGCGGUAAAACGUAGGUCACAAGCGUUGUCCGGAAUUACUGGGUGUAAAGGGAGCGCAGGCGGGAAGGCAAGUUGGAAGUGAAAUCCAUGGGCUCAACCCAUGAACUGCUUUCAAAACUGUUUUUCUUGAGUAGUGCAGAGGUAGGCGGAAUUCCCGGUGUAGCGGUGGAAUGCGUAGAUAUCGGGAGGAACACCAGUGGCGAAGGCGGCCUACUGGGCACCAACUGACGCUGAGGCUCGAAAGUGUGGGUAGCAAACAGGAUUAGAUACCCUGGUAGUCCACACUGUAAACGAUGAUUACUAGGUGUUGGAGGAUUGACCCCUUCAGUGCCGCAGUUAACACAGUAAGUAAUCCACCUGGGGAGUACGACCGCAAGGUUGAAACUCAAAGGAAUUGACGGGGGCCCGCACAAGCAGUGGAGUAUGUGGUUUAAUUCGACGCAACGCGAAGAACCUUACCAAGUCUUGACAUCCUGCGACGCACAUAGAAAUAUGUGUUUCCUUCGGGACGCAGAGACAGGUGGUGCAUGGUUGUCGUCAGCUCGUGUCGUGAGAUGUUGGGUUAAGUCCCGCAACGAGCGCAACCCUUAUGGUCAGUUACUACGCAAGAGGACUCUGGCCAGACUGCCGUUGACAAAACGGAGGAAGGUGGGGAUGACGUCAAAUCAUCAUGCCCUUUAUGACUUGGGCUACACACGUACUACAAUGGCGUUAAACAAAGAGAAGCAAGACCGCGAGGUGGAGCAAAACUCAGAAACAACGUCCCAGUUCGGACUGCAGGCUGCAACUCGCCUGCACGAAGUCGGAAUUGCUAGUAAUCGCAGAUCAGCAUGCUGCGGUGAAUACGUUCCCGGGCCUUGUACACGCCGCCCGUC
This 1368-nucleotide ribosomal RNA is filed under the name uncultured bacterium. RNAcentral describes it as "bacterial SSU rRNA". It matches the Rfam family "Bacterial small subunit ribosomal RNA". The record is from RNAcentral.